UGGAGGACCGAACCGACUAAUGUUGAAAAAUUAGCGGAUGACCUGUGGCUGGGGGUGAAAGGCCAAUCAAACCGGGAGAUAGCUGGUUCUCCCCGAAAGCUAUUUAGGUAGCGCCUCGUGAAUUCAUCUCCGGGGGUAGAGCACUGUUUCGGCUAGGGGGCCAUCCCGGCUUACCAACCCGAUGCAAACUGCGAAUACCGGAGAAUGUUAUCACGGGAGACACACGGCGGGUGCUAACGUCCGUCGUGAAGAGGGAAACAACCCAGACCGCCAGCUAAGGUCCCAAAGUCAUGGUUAAGUGGGAAACGAUGUGGGAAGGCCCAGACAGCCAGGAUGUUGGCUUAGAAGCAGCCAUCAUUUAAAGAAAGCGUAAUAGCUCACUGGUCGAGUCGGCCUGCGCGGAAGAUGUAACGGGGCUAAACCAUGCACCGAAGCUGCGGCAGCGACACUGUGUGUUGUUGGGUAGGGGAGCGUUCUGUAAGCCUGUGAAGGUGUGUCGUGAGGCAUGCUGGAGGUAUCAGAAGUGCGAAUGCUGACAUAAGUAACGAUAAAGCGGGUGAAAAGCCCGCUCGCCGGAAGACCAAGGGUUCCUGUCCAACGUUAAUCGGGGCAGGGUGAGUCGACCCCUAAGGCGAGGCCGAAAGGCGUAGUCGAUGGGAAACGGGUUAAUAUUCCCGUACUUGGUGUUACUGCGAAGGGGGGACGGAGAAGGCUAUGUUGGCCGGG
Molecule: ribosomal RNA, 726 nt
Filed under: Salmonella enterica subsp. enterica serovar Enteritidis
Lineage: Bacteria; Pseudomonadati; Pseudomonadota; Gammaproteobacteria; Enterobacterales; Enterobacteriaceae
Description: partial 23S ribosomal RNA
Rfam family: Bacterial large subunit ribosomal RNA
Source: RNAcentral